UAGGGAAUCUUCGGCAAUGGACGAAAGUCUGACCGAGCAACGCCGCGUGAGUGAAGAAGGUUUUCGGAUCGUAAAAACUCUGUUGGUAGAGAAGAACGUUGGUGAGAGUGGAAAGCUCAUCAAGUGACGGUAACUACCCAGAAAGGGACGGCUAACUACGUGUCAG
RNAcentral lists this ribosomal RNA (166 nucleotides) under uncultured bacterium. Its description in RNAcentral is "partial 16S rRNA". It matches the Rfam family "Bacterial small subunit ribosomal RNA", at positions 355 to 511 of the family's 1533-position model. The record is from RNAcentral.